ACGCGAUGCCGCAGUCGGGUCGCGGAUUCAACUACUCGCUGAACUCUCAGGAGAUCGUCAUGAG
RNAcentral lists this small RNA (64 nucleotides) under Pseudomonas massiliensis. RNAcentral describes it as "Repression of heat shock gene expression (ROSE) element". It matches the Rfam family "Repression of heat shock gene expression (ROSE) element". Lineage: Bacteria; Pseudomonadati; Pseudomonadota; Gammaproteobacteria; Pseudomonadales; Pseudomonadaceae. The record is from RNAcentral.